RNAcentral lists this long non-coding RNA (1143 nucleotides) under Olea europaea subsp. europaea. Lineage: Eukaryota; Viridiplantae; Streptophyta; Magnoliopsida; Lamiales; Oleaceae. The record is from RNAcentral.
UAAGCUUGAUCAUGGCUCACUAAAAGAAACUAGGCAAAUAGCCAUCCAAAAGUUGUCUACUUCUAUUCUUAUCUUUGUAUCUCUUGUCAGGAUGGAUGUUAAAAUUAGAUUACUAUUUGUAUUUAUUGGUUAGUACGAUGUAGCUUUUGUUAAGAAAAUCUUUUUCUGAAUGGGUAGAGCGAACAAUUUACUCAAUACAUAGUGGUUUUGUAUUACUAAAACAUUCUUAUAUGAUGAUGCGAUGCCAUAUAGGUUCUAAAUUUCUAUAUGAUUCUUAGGUUAUAUGAUAAUGGUGAAAGCAAAUGCUCUGUUUGUAAAUUGAUUAAGAAUGCUUAAAGUUUAGAUUGAUAUUUGCUAAUUGGGUAUCUAUUGUUUUUCUGCUUUUCCCUCAUUGAUUAGGUGAGAUCCUUGGCUGCAGAAUCUGAUAGAGGUUACCAAAUAGGCGUAUUGUUACGAAGCUUACUACGGUCAUUUAGAUUGCCUACAAUUAAUCCUUUCUGCUGCUCAUUGUACUCUAGUUGCAUAAUCUUGUUAACUAUUUCUUACCUAUGUUACCUUACACUAAUAUACACCAAUGUUUGUCUAUUCAAAACAAUGAGCUAAUUAUUGUGCUCAAAUAGGAAGUCAGAGGAGUUUUGAGAUUUGUUAAUAUAAGAGAUGGAAGUGGUGCAACUCCGUUGAAUUUGGUAGUUUGUCUAGGAUGACGAAAUUGUGUUCAUAAUCGAGCAGUUGGGCUUUUGUAUGUGUCUAUGGUGGAUAUAUGUACUUUUAUCCAGUUCUUUAGCAUUUUCCUUGUCUAUAUCAGUUAUAAUGACAACAAUAGUUGCAGCAAACCCAGGGAAUACACCUCUUCAUUUUGGCUGCAUGGGAUGGUUCUUUGGACUAUCUGAGAAUUGCUUGCUUGAGGUGCUGAAGUUGUUUUGGAUGUGAAAUUAACAGGAACAAACUUAACAAACUACUUUUGAUCUGUAAGACAGAAUUCUGUUUAACAUGAUCCUCUUUCCAUCAUGAUGAAUAAUUUCCCUGACCUCCUUUAUUCACCCGUGUCUGCACACCAGGCUUCCACCUUAAUUUUAUCGAAAAUCUCAUAGUAAAGGCAAAGUUCUUAUUGUUAAUGUGUUUUAAAGAUCAACGAGACGUGAG